GCGGAGGAAAAGAAACCAACAGGGAUUGCCCUAGUAACGGCGAGUGAAGCGGCAACAGCUCAAAUUUGAAAUCUGGCCUUCGGGUCCGAGUUGUAAUUUGUAGAGGAUGCUUUUGGUCCGGUGCCUUCCGAGUUCCUUGGAACAGGACGCCUUAGAGGGUGAGAGCCCCGUACGGUUGGACACCAAGCCUCUGUAAAGCUCCUUCGACGAGUCGAGUAGUUUGGGAAUGCUGCUCUAAAUGGGAGGUAAAUUUCUUCUAAAGCUAAAUACCGGCCAGAGACCGAUAGCGCACAAGUAGAGUGAUCGAAAGAUGAAAAGUACUUUGAAAAGAGGGUUAAAUAGCACGUGAAAUUGUUGAAAGGGAAGCGUUUAUGACCAGACCUUCGUCGGGCGGAUCAUCCGGUGUUCUUCACCGGUGCACUUCGCCCGGCUUAGGCCAGCAUCGGUUUUCGCAGGGGGACAAAGGUCCCGGGAACGUAGCUCCCUCCGGGGAGUGUUAUAGCCCGGGACGUAAUACCCUUGCGGGGACCGAGGUUCGCGCUCCGGCAAGGAUGCUGGCGUAAUGGUCAUCAACGACCCGUCUUGAAACACGGACCAAGGAGUCGAACAUUUAUGCGAGUGUUUGGGUGUUAAACCCUCACGCGUAAUGAAAGUGAACGGAGGUGAGAGCCCGUACGGGUGCAUCAUCGACCGAUCCUGAUGUCUUCGGAUGGAUUUGAGUAAGAGCAUAACUGUUCGGACCCGAAAGAUGGUGAACUAUGCGUGGAUAGGGUGAAGCCAGAGGAAACUCUGGUGGAGGCUCGCAGCGGUUCUGACGUGCAAAUCGAUCGUCAAAUCUGCGCAU
RNAcentral lists this small RNA (844 nucleotides) under Eutypa sp. 1 NV-2015. RNAcentral's name for it is "eukaryotic LSU rRNA". It matches the Rfam family "Eukaryotic large subunit ribosomal RNA", at positions 50 to 918 of the family's 3401-position model. The record is from RNAcentral. Lineage: Eukaryota; Fungi; Ascomycota; Sordariomycetes; Xylariales; Diatrypaceae.